This 253-nucleotide ribosomal RNA is filed under the name uncultured bacterium. RNAcentral's name for it is "partial 16S ribosomal RNA". It matches the Rfam family "Bacterial small subunit ribosomal RNA", at positions 524 to 776 of the family's 1533-position model. The record is from RNAcentral.
GACGGGGGAACCAAGCGUUGUUCGGAAUCAUUGGGCGUAAAGCGGGUGUAGGUGGCUUUGUAAGUCAUAUGUGAAAUCCCUGGGCUCAACCCAGGACGUGCAUGUGAUACUGCUUAGCUUGAGUGUGAUAGAGGCUAGUAGAAUUCCUGGUGUAGUGGUGAAAUACGUAGAUAUCAGGAGGAAUACCGGAGGCGAAGGCGGCUAGCUGGAUCAACACUGACACUGAGACCCGAAAGCGUGGGGAUCAAACAGG